RNAcentral lists this ribosomal RNA (784 nucleotides) under Clathrina cylindractina. RNAcentral describes it as "eukaryotic LSU rRNA". The stretch from base 301 to 454 matches the Rfam family "5.8S ribosomal RNA". The record is from RNAcentral. Lineage: Eukaryota; Metazoa; Porifera; Calcarea; Clathrinida; Clathrinidae.
GAGUAAAAAGUCGUAACAAGGUUUCCGUAGGUGAACUGCGGAAGGAUCAUUACCGAUUCGUAACACCUAACACACUGUGCACUCGGUCGCUGCAUGGCAGCUCCUUUCGGGGUUGAGCGCUACUGCUCAUUAAAUCGGAGGCGCGCUUUUCCGAGCGCGUGUUCCGGGCCCCGAUCGGAGUGUGCGUGCAGCGGUUUUUCACGGCCACUUCGCUGUGGCACUCGUGAAACUUUUACCAACCUUGCAAAUUUGCAGACUGUACUGUUGGUCAAGCUUGUCUUGAUGAUGAAAAUCAUGGACAACUUUCAACGGUGGAUCUCUUGGCUCGUGGAUCGAUGAAGAACGCAGCAAAACGCGAUAUGUAGUGUGAAUUGCAGAAUUCAGUGAAUCAUCGAAUCUUUGAACGCAAAUGGCGCUCCUGGGUAUUCCCAGGAGCAUGUCUGUCUCAGCGUCGUUUUCACCUCGAGCACGCUUUCGGCGUGGUUGUCUUGAGGCGUCUGGUUGCGCGCUCUGUGUGCCGCCAGUCCCUUGAAAUACAGUGGCCGGACAGUGUGUGCUCUCGGGUCGGUUCGCCCCGAUUUCGCUCGCACGGCUGAUGGUGAGAUUUCAUUAUCUCCCUUGUCGUGUCGCAGCGGCCUGUGGGUGGAGCCUGGCUCCGAGAAUUGGCCUCCUGUCCGAAGAAAGCCAGUCUGGAAAACACGCGCUCGUUUCGCAAGGAACGAACAUCUUCGACCUGAGAUCAGGCAAGACUACCCGCUGAAUUUAAGCAUAUUAAUAAGCGGAG